This 55-nucleotide small RNA is filed under the name Arabidopsis thaliana (thale cress). Its description in RNAcentral is "ATSL243770". The record is from RNAcentral. Lineage: Eukaryota; Viridiplantae; Streptophyta; Magnoliopsida; Brassicales; Brassicaceae.
CUCAUUCAUCAUCGUCUCUGUCUCCUCUUCUUGGCCGUCUUUAACUUUAUCCUCU